Molecule: unclassified non-coding RNA, 211 nt
Filed under: plant metagenome
Description: partial contains small subunit ribosomal RNA, internal transcribed spacer 1, and 5.8S ribosomal RNA
Source: RNAcentral
UUUCCGUAGGUGAACCUGCGGAAGGAUCAUUCAUAAUAAAGUGUUUUAUGGCACUUUUUAAAAAUCCAUAUCCACCUUGUGUGCAAUGUUAGAUCUCGUCAAUCUUGGCGAGAUUUUUAUACAUCAACUCAUUCUUUAACGAAUUUGUCUGAAAAAUAUUAUGAAUACUUAAUUCAAAAUACAACUUUCAACAACGGAUCUCUUGGCUCUC